AGGUAGUUGCUUGGGGGAUGAGGUAGUGAGAGUGAGCGGCACGACAAUUAAACAUUUUACGCUGGAUGAGUUCAAUAGCAGAAAUCCCAUGGUAAUGGUUGUCAAUUGUAGUUAUGAGAACAGAAACUUCGGGGAUUAACAGAUCUAAGUUCCGGCAUGCGGAGAGGGGUGGGGGGAAGGGUGGAUAGACAUUUUAGGUAGGUUGGUUAGGAGUUGGUUUUCUGGAGGUCUAGUCAGCUUUUAGGAAGUGUAACCAAGGGCUCCAGGUACGUUCAUAGGUACUAUAGGAGUGUGACCUCGAG
Molecule: non-coding RNA, 302 nt
Organism: Pelobates cultripes (western spadefoot toad)
Lineage: Eukaryota; Metazoa; Chordata; Amphibia; Anura; Pelobatidae
Source: the annotation of a GenBank genome assembly